UACAGAGGGGGCAAGCGUUGUUCGGAAUUACUGGGCGUAAAGGGCGCGUAGGCGGCCUGUUAAGUCGAACGUGAAAUCCCCGGGCUCAACCCCGGGCCUGCAUUCGAUACGGGCAGACUAGAGUUCGGUAGGGGAGUCUGGAAUUCCUGGUGUAGCGGUGAAAUGCGCAGAUAUCAGGAGGAACACCGGUGGCGAAGGCGGGACUCUGGGCCGAUACUGACGCUGAGGAGCGAAAGCGUGGGGAGCAAACAGG
This 253-nucleotide ribosomal RNA is filed under the name uncultured bacterium. RNAcentral describes it as "partial 16S ribosomal RNA". It matches the Rfam family "Bacterial small subunit ribosomal RNA", at positions 524 to 776 of the family's 1533-position model. The record is from RNAcentral.